RNAcentral lists this ribosomal RNA (250 nucleotides) under uncultured bacterium. RNAcentral describes it as "partial 16S ribosomal RNA". It matches the Rfam family "Bacterial small subunit ribosomal RNA", at positions 524 to 773 of the family's 1533-position model. The record is from RNAcentral.
CACGGGGGGAGCAAGCGUUGUUCGGAUUCAUUGGGCGUAAAGAGCUCGUAGGUGGCUCUGUAAGUCGGUGGUGAAAGCCCACGGCUCAACCGUGGAUACGCCUCCGAAACUGUGGAGCUUGAGGCUGGGAGAGGAAAUCGGAAUUCCUGGUGUAGCGGUGAAAUGCGUAGAUAUCAGGAGGAACACCGGUGGCGAAGGCGGAUUUCUGGACCAGUUCUGACACUGAGGAGCGAAAGCCAGGGGAGCAAAC